GGGGAAUUUUCCGCAAUGGGCGAAAGCCUGACGGAGCAACGCCGCGUGAGGGAUGAAGGCCUCUGGGCUGUAAACCUCUUUUAUCAAGGAAGAAGAUCUGACGGUACUUGAUGAAUAAGCCACGGCUAAUUCCGUGCCAGCAGCCGCGGUAAUACGGGAGUGGCAAGCGUUAUCCGGAAUUAUUGGGCGUAAAGCGUCCGCAGGCGGUCUUGUAAGUCUGUCGUUAAAGCGUGGAGCUUAACUCCAUUUGAGCGAUGGAAACUGUAAGACUAGAGUGUGGUAGGGGCAGAGGGAAUUCCCGGUGUAGCGGUGAAAUGCGUAGAUAUCGGGAAGAACACCAGUGGCGAAGGCGCUCUGCUGGGCCAUAACUGACGCUCAUGGACGAAAGCCAGGGGAGCGAAAGGGAUUAGAUACCCCUGUAGUCCUGGCCGUAAACGAUGAACACUAGGUGUCGGGGGAAUCGACCCCCUCGGUGUCGUAGCCAACGCGUUAAGUGUUCCGCCUGGGGAGUACGCACGCAAGUGUGAAACUCAAAGGAAUUGACGG
Molecule: ribosomal RNA, 546 nt
Filed under: uncultured bacterium
Lineage: Bacteria
Description: bacterial SSU rRNA
Rfam family: Bacterial small subunit ribosomal RNA
Source: RNAcentral